Molecule: long non-coding RNA, 1115 nt
Organism: Bos taurus (domestic cattle)
Lineage: Eukaryota; Metazoa; Chordata; Mammalia; Artiodactyla; Bovidae
Source: Ensembl
GAGUCCUCAUCUCUCUGCAGGAGGCCCAAAGUUGUCUCUCUCAGUCUCUGUGUCACUGCUCCCUCUUUCUGUUUCCCAGUUCCCUUGCUUUGCCUGCUCUCUUCUACUUUCCGUCUCUAUCACCAGACUUGCACUGCCUUUCUCUUUUCUUAAUAACUGUGAGCCUUACUUAGCCCCCAACUAUGAAAAAGCUUAAAGCAUUUCACAGGACCCCUGCUUCCCUCCCUCUGCUUCAGAGGAGCAGGACAAGUUGUGGGGAGGGACCAGCUGGCAACUCUUUUAAGAGAGAUGCAGUGGGGGAGGGUGAGAGACUGUUCAGUGCCAAGGGAUGAGGAUGGACAAAGGAAAGGAGGGUUGAGGUGGGAGGUGGAAGUUGGAGGGGGCAGGCAGUGGCUGCAGAAGGAUUGACGAGAAAAGGAGUAUUGAGGUGAGAGCAAGCAUAUUUCUGUUGCCCUUUUUGGAUUGGUAGAUGCUCCCAACUGUUUCCUCUCACUUUAAGAUGUCCUCCACAGAGGCCUUUGGAAAAGAGGGAAGAAGGGAACCAGGGUUUCCCUUCAAACCUCACAUCUGAGCUAGGCCUUUAUCUGACCUGGCUGCCCUUCUUCUGGGAGACUUGAGACUCCACUUUCUACAUUUCCCUCCCAGGGAGAACCUCCUCACCUCAUCCCUUGCUCUUCUAAUCAAGGAAACAAUUUGAGGUCUAAAAGAGGAAGUAAAUUCCAAAUCAGAUUGAUAAAAGAGUAGAAAUCAUUCUGGGAGUUGGGGAAAUGCAGUCUCCCUAGUUAAUAGCUGAAGUCACCAAUAGUCAAUUAUAAAUACAGAAGGAAAGGGAUGGAGCAAAAGUGCCUCAAAUUGUACUAUCAAGUGCAGUAAUUGUUUAGGCCUCAGCGUCCCAAUUCAUCCCUGAACCUUGCUACCUUCUCCUAUGUAGCAGAAAGAUGAAAACUUUCCAGAUUUCCUGCUGGCUUCCCUGGUGGCUCAGCAGUAUAGAAUCCUCUUGCAGUGCAGAAGACAUGGGUUCAAUCCCUGAGUCUGGAAGAUCCCGUGGAGGAGGAAAUGGCAGCAUUCUUGUCUGGGAAAUCCUAUGGACUGAGAGAAAAGGCAACGUGGGUUCU